UUGUGGAGGAGGACGCCGAAGGUGGGGCUAAUGACUGGGGUGAAGUCGUAACAAGGUAGCCGUACCGGAAGGUGCGGCUGGAUCACCUCCUAACAGGGAGACAACAAAAUGUUAAAUAUUAAUUUUGUCACCUUAGGUCGAUCGGUACCUUACAUUCUUAAUUUAUUGAGAAUUUCAUUUCCUAAGUUUUUCUAGGUCACACCCAUUAUUUUUCCUGGGCCAUUAGCUCAGGUGGUUAGAGCGCACCCCUGAUAAGGGUGAGGUCCCUGGUUCAAGUCCAGGAUGGCCCAUCAUAUCUCUAUGUUGGGGGUAUAGCUCAGUUGGUAGAGCGCCUGCUUUGCAAGCAGGAUGUCAGCGGUUCGAGUCCGCUUACCUCCACUGAUUACCACCUCUUUCAUAAUCUGUGAAAGGAAAUGUUUUGAGUUGUGAUCAAAUUCUGAACGAAUCUAGCUUCCUAAUGAAACCAUUAAGAUGCUGGACUCAUUGAAUUAUAUUCAUUGUUUUCAGAGAACCUCGACAACUGCAUAGAUUAUUUUUAAAGACAAUAAGCAUCUUUAAAGAUGCAGAUUUAUUAUUUGUGCGAAUGCAUUAAUAACAAUUCUAUUAAGCUGAUGCUUCAAUUUUGAAGUUAUUGGUCAAGCUACAA
RNAcentral lists this unclassified non-coding RNA (646 nucleotides) under uncultured Prochlorococcus sp. RNAcentral describes it as "partial 16S-23S ribosomal RNA intergenic spacer; may also contain 16S ribosomal RNA and 23S ribosomal RNA". The stretch from base 306 to 378 matches the Rfam family "tRNA". The record is from RNAcentral. Lineage: Bacteria; Bacillati; Cyanobacteriota; Cyanophyceae; Synechococcales; Prochlorococcaceae.